Molecule: ribosomal RNA, 496 nt
Filed under: uncultured bacterium
Lineage: Bacteria
Description: partial 16S ribosomal RNA
Rfam family: Bacterial small subunit ribosomal RNA
Source: RNAcentral
GAUGAACGCUGGCGGCGUGCCUAAUACAUGCAAGUCGAGCGAACGGACGAGAAGCUUGCUUCUCUGAUGUUAGCGGCGGACGGGUGAGUAACACGCGGAUAACCUACCUAUAAGACUGGGAUAACUUCGGGAAACCGGAGCUAAUACCGGAUAAUAUUUUGAACCGCAUGGUUCAAAAGUGAAAGACGGUCUUGCUGUCACUUAUAGAUGGAUCCGCGCUGCAUUAGCUAGUUGGUAAGGUAACGGCUUACCAAGGCAACGAUGCAUAGCCGACCUGAGAGGGGAUCGGCCACACUGGAACUGAGACACGGUCCAGACUCCUACGGGAGGCAGCAGUAGGGAAUCUUCCGCAAUGGGCGAAAGCCUGACGGAGCAACGCCGCGUGAGUGAUGAAGGUCUUCGGAUCGUAAAACUCUGUUAUUAGGGAAGAACAUAUGUGUAAGUAACUGUGCACAUCUUGACGGUACCUAAUCAGAAAGCCACGGCUAACUACGUG